This 446-nucleotide ribosomal RNA is filed under the name uncultured bacterium. RNAcentral's name for it is "bacterial SSU rRNA". It matches the Rfam family "Bacterial small subunit ribosomal RNA", at positions 329 to 792 of the family's 1533-position model. The record is from RNAcentral.
UGCCAGACUCCUACGGGAGACAGCAGUGGGGAAUAUUGCACAAUGGGGGAAACCCUGAUGCAGCAACGCCGCGUGAGUGAAGAAGUAUUUCGGUAUGUAAAGCUCUAUCAGCAGGGAAGAAGAAAGACGGUACCUGACUAAGAAGCCCCGGCUAACUACGUGCCAGCAGCCGCGGUAAUACGUAGGGGGCAAGCGUUAUCCGGAUUUACUGGGUGUAAAGGGAGCGUAGGCGGAAUGCCAAGUCAGCGGUAAAAUCGCGGGGCUCACCCUCGCUCCGCCGUUGAAACUGGCGUUCUUGAGUGGGCGAGAAGUAUGCGGAAUGCGUGGUGUAGCGGUGAAAUGCAUAGAUAUCACGCAGAACUCCGAUUGCGAAGGCAGCAUGCCGGCUCCACACUGACGCUGAGGCACGAAAGCGUGGGUAUCGAACAGGAUUAGAUACCCCAGUA